Meleagris gallopavo (turkey) is the source of this 1459-nucleotide non-coding RNA. Lineage: Eukaryota; Metazoa; Chordata; Aves; Galliformes; Phasianidae. The record is from RefSeq and is a predicted model, not a curated record.
CCACUAUGGAGGGAUCUCUGAUUGGAGAUCACUCAUGAAGUCCUUUUUGCAAGCCUAGGCCUUUAGAGACAGAAGACAAAGAGACUUAUGUACUUCUAUACUGUGUUGUGGGAGAGAUUUGCAACUUGAGUCCAAACUGGAGUGUCAACUUUGUUGUCUAGUGGUUUGUGACACUGCAGAAGAAGAAAUGAAAGCUGCAUACUGCUGGAAAUAGGAGGAAAAUCAGCUUUUAGCCCUAUGACAUUACAUAAGAACUGCAACGCUGUGACUGAAUUCUGCUGGCAUCAGCUGAAAUGCAGCAGGAGGAACUCUCCACCACCUUGACAUCCCACGUGAACCUAUAGCUCACAGUAGCCACCUCCUGAGUAAACACAUUCAAUCUGGGGAAAAAAAUAAAUAAAUAAACAAAGCAGUCAAGUGUGGAAGUGGGGCAAAUGCAUCUGAUAUUUUAUAUCUACUGAACUUGAUGUACUGACUUUCUUCCAUUAGAAAUUAACUGAUUUUAGUUCCAUCAUUUUUAUAUUUAAUUUUUGGAAUUAUGUCUCAGAUUUUGACCUUCUAGAAAAUGUCAGUAACUAUGCAGAUGAUAUUAAGUUGACAAUAUUAUUAGCCUAAAAUGUUAUCAUUAGAAUAAUUGCAUAUGGUAAGUACAGGGAAAUUUUCAUGUCCAUAUUAUCUGGUUGGUCUAUGUAUAAUACAGCAGCUAGACCCCAGAGAAAUGUUAGUUAAUUUACUGCUCAGUGCAUCAGUAUACUUUUAAGAAAGCACAUGAGCCGUGUGUGAAAAUGAGAAAUAAUCCCUGCAAUUUUUGUUAUAUUAUUGUUGCUGCUAAAUGCCUACUAUUUUUAUUGCUAUUUUUUUUGUUCCAGUCACGUAAUACCCAACAAACAAGAAGCAUAUAUUUCAUUCUAUUAUGAAUAACAGAAGAUAUUUUAAUCUUGGUAUAAAUACAGUACUGUGAUUUGCAUUUAUAUAUUAAAUUAAGGAAUUAUUAAUUCUCUUCACAGAAACACAUGAAUAGUGGUUUAUAUGAAUCAUGUUCUAACACAGGAAAUUUGUUUUCAGUAAAAGAGAAAAAGCAUCCUGGUGAAAAGAAAAAAAUCGAAUGUUGUAAGAACAGCAAACCUAAUUUCAUUUUAUUAUGACCAGGAACUCAUCAACUUUACUUACAGACCUGGGAAGACCAAAAUAGGGAUAUUGCUGUUUGGCACUGUAAUGUUAGUAGUUUGUGUCAGUGUUAAGAACAUCCCAGUCAAGCUAUUGCCAAUAGAUACUAUUCCCUUACAUCACAGAGAUCCAAGCCUCUGUUUCUCUCAAAGAUUAACAAAUUGUUAACUGAAGAAAUAGCUCUUCUAAAACUGAAAAACAAAUUUCAGGCUUACUGUUUGGGUUUUAAGUCAGUGAUAAAUGACAGUCAAUAACUGUUUAACCAGACCAAUAAAAGUAACACAUUGUUGUA